RNAcentral lists this unclassified non-coding RNA (308 nucleotides) under Xanthoria sp. Its description in RNAcentral is "partial contains 5.8S ribosomal RNA, internal transcribed spacer 2, and large subunit ribosomal RNA". The stretch from base 1 to 52 matches the Rfam family "5.8S ribosomal RNA", at positions 103 to 154 of the family's 154-position model. Lineage: Eukaryota; Fungi; Ascomycota; Lecanoromycetes; Teloschistales; Teloschistaceae. RNAcentral also lists the same sequence under 2 other names. The record is from RNAcentral.
AACGCACCUUGCGCCCUUUGGUAUUCCGAAGGGCAUGCCUGUUUGAGUGUCAUUAAAUUAUCAACCUUGCUCUCGCUUUUACCGGCUUGAGUGAGGCUUGGAUGUGAGGGCUUGCUGGCUUCCUUCAGUGGAUGGUCUGCUCCCUUUAAAUGCAUUAGUGGAAUCCUUUGUGGACCGUCACUUGGUGUGAUAAUUAUCUAUGCCAUCUUGACUUUGAAGCAAAACUUAUGGGAAUCCGCUCAUAACCGUCUUCGGACAAUCAUUGACAUUUUGACCUCAAAUCAGGUAGGACUACCCGCUGAACUUAA